CUCAAUGAAAAUUAAAUAGCCGCAAAUUAUAUUGUGCUAAGGUAGCAUAAUCAUUCGUUUUUUAAUUAAAAACUAGAAUGAAAGAUUUAACAUUUUUAUUUCUUUCUUACUUAUACAAAUUUAAAUUAUUUUAAAUAUAAAAAAAUAUUUAUUAAUUAAAAAGACGACAAGACCCUAUUGAACUUAACUUAAGUUUAACUGGGGCAGUUAAUUAAAUAUAAUUUUAAUUAAAACUUCAAAAAAAUCUAAUAAAAUUAAAUAAUAAAGUUACCAUAGGGAUAACAGCGUAAUAAUUUUUUAUAGAUCUUAUUCAAAAAAUUGUUUGCGACCUCGAUGUUGAAUUAAUAUUCAAUUAAAUGCAAUAAUUUAAAAUAGAAAGUCUGUUCGACUU
This 391-nucleotide ribosomal RNA is filed under the name Flexicoelotes jinlongyanensis. RNAcentral describes it as "partial 16S ribosomal RNA". The record is from RNAcentral. Lineage: Eukaryota; Metazoa; Arthropoda; Arachnida; Araneae; Agelenidae.